This 489-nucleotide long non-coding RNA is filed under the name Numida meleagris (helmeted guineafowl). RNAcentral's name for it is "lncRNA (ENSNMEG00000023180.1)". The record is from RNAcentral. Lineage: Eukaryota; Metazoa; Chordata; Aves; Galliformes; Numididae.
AAGAAUUCAGGCCAGUUGUACACUGCUACAAAAAGUGCUGUGCUCUGCCAUUGUUCUGUGAUAAAUUUCACUUGAGAAUUCAGGAAUUUGGCGUCUCUUUUCUUUCAGACACUAUGAUAUUUACUUGAUUGUGCCUCUGCGCUCAACGUUGAAAUAUCUUUCUAUCUGAUCUAUUGAAGUGCGAUCCUUAUUACCACGUGGCAGCCUUGGCACCAUAAGCAUGCUGAGCUCACUACUUGUUGGGCACAGUGUGUUGGCUCGGAGGUUUUAAACUGGCAUCUGAUUGUGCCUCCUGGAAGCACGACUGUGUAGGUAAUUGCACAGCGCAACACUGAUAUGCCAGAGUGCUGAUAUAAGGAAAGGUCGCAUUCUCUGCUUUGUGUCUGCACAAGACUCAUGGACCUAAAUAUGAGCAAAACAAACAGGUUUUGUAAGAGAGGGACUGCCUCUUCUUCUUAAAUUAUGGAUCCAUAAGGCUGAAGCAAGGAA